GCUCUCGUGGUGUAGUGGCUAUCAUACUCUCUUAGGGUGGGAGUGGUCCUGGGUUCAAAUCCCGGCGAGGGCCUA
Non-coding RNA from Vanrija pseudolonga, 75 nucleotides. Lineage: Eukaryota; Fungi; Basidiomycota; Tremellomycetes; Trichosporonales; Trichosporonaceae. The record is from the annotation of a RefSeq genome assembly.